This 665-nucleotide ribosomal RNA is filed under the name uncultured Bacillota bacterium. RNAcentral describes it as "bacterial SSU rRNA". It matches the Rfam family "Bacterial small subunit ribosomal RNA", at positions 840 to 1504 of the family's 1533-position model. Lineage: Bacteria; Bacillati; Bacillota. The record is from RNAcentral.
UCCGUGCCGGAGCUAACGCAAUAAGCAAUCCACCUGGGGAGUACGGCCGCAAGGUUGAAACUCAAAGGAAUUGACGGGGGCCCGCACAAGCAGUGGAUUAUGUGGUUUAAUUCGAAGCAACGCGAAGAACCUUACCAGGUCUUGACAUCCCUUGACAGGUGUGGAAACACAUUUUUCCAGCAAUGGACAAGGAGACAGGUGGUGCAUGGUUGUCGUCAGCUCGUGUCGUGAGAUGUUCGGUUAAGUCCGGCAACGAGCGCAACCCUUAUGAUAUGUUGCCAAUAUUAAGUUAGGAACUCAUAUCAGACUGCCGUGGACAACACGGAGGAAGGCGGGGAUGACGUCAAAUCAUCAUGCCCCUUACGUCUUGGGCAACACACGUGCUACAAUGGGCGCAACAAAGAGCGGCAAAGCAGCAAUGCCGAGCGAAUCUCAAAAAAGCGUUCUCAGUUCAGAUUGUGGGCUGCAACCCGCCCGCAUGAAGUAGGAGUUGCUAGUAAUCCCGAAUCAGAAUGUCGGGGUGAAUGCGUUCCCGGGUCUUGUACACACCGCCCGUCACGCCAUGGGAGUUGGGAGUACCCGAAGCCGGUGAGCUAACCAGCAAUGGAGGCAGCCGUCUAAGGUAAGACCGAUGACUGGGGUGAAGUCGUAACAAGGUAGCCGUA